GGAGGUGUGCCCGAGCGGCCGAAGGGAACGGUCUUGAAAACCGUCGAGGCAGCGAUGUCUCCGUGGGUUCAAAUCCCACCGCCUCCGC
RNAcentral lists this transfer RNA (88 nucleotides) under Streptomyces cacaoi. RNAcentral describes it as "tRNA-Ser". It matches the Rfam family "tRNA". Rfam says of the family: Transfer RNA (tRNA) molecules are approximately 80 nucleotides in length. Their secondary structure includes four short double-helical elements and three loops (D, anti-codon, and T loops). Further hydrogen bonds mediate the characteristic L-shaped molecular structure. tRNAs have two regions of fundamental functional importance: the anti-codon, which is responsible for specific mRNA codon recognition, and the 3' end, to which the tRNAs corresponding amino acid is attached (by aminoacyl-tRNA synthetases). tRNAs cope with the degeneracy of the genetic code in two manners: having more than one tRNA (with a specific anti-codon) for a particular amino acid; and 'wobble' base-pairing, i.e. permitting non-standard base-pairing at the 3rd anti-codon position. The record is from RNAcentral. RNAcentral also lists the same sequence under 2 other names. Lineage: Bacteria; Bacillati; Actinomycetota; Actinomycetes; Kitasatosporales; Streptomycetaceae.